UUUGUAGUUUGUAGUUGAUCAAAAAAAGUGUUUUUUGCGAGUUAGGUUUGCAAACCCGGUCUGUACUUUUAGGGUAAAACCCGGUCUAUUUGAAGAGUGUCGGAUGGGUCUAAUCUCUUGGGGCAGUUUCGUUAGUUUGGGAAGUUUCAGCUUUCAGCCGAGAAGUCUCCCAAGAUGAGGACUUUGAGGAAGCCAUUAAACGGCAAAUUUAAAGCUUGGAGCCUUGAGACAAGAUUUGGGUCUUUGAAUUUUUUUUUUUCAAGACAAAAGAGAGUAAAUUUUUCGACACCCAUCACAGAUCAGAUAAUGAUAUGAGAAUGGAAGAGAUUGUAGAGGAAACCAAUGGAAAACACGAAAAGAUGGUGGAAAUUACUCUCAAAAUCAUUGGCCCUGCUCGCCCUUCUCGCCUUCACGUCCCUUCUUCCCUCAGAGUUCAUGAUUUGAGAAAAUUGAUAGCUGGAAAGAAUCGUUUACCAGUAGAGAAUUUGAAACUAAUCUCACAAGGGAAGGUAUUGCAUGACCGUGAAGAUGAAGAUGAUAUUUACAUACAACUCAAUGAUGGUGAUUCACUCAUUGUUGCUGUCAAACCAAAGGCACCAAGUGGACUCGAUAUUGACGAUGAUGAGGAAGAUUUGAAAUUUCAGCUUCCACAGUCAACAAGUCGGUGGAAAAAGAAGCUUUACUCGUUUUUACUAAAUAGAUUGAAGCUUCCUGAUAUCCUUUUGAUGGCAAUUUUUUCUCUAAGUCUUAAGGCAUGGAUUCUUGUUAUCUUAUGGUUUAUACUGGCACAUGUUGCCCAUAAAUGGGAUCUUGGACCGUUAUAUAUACUUGGAACUGGUUUUUGUACAAUUUUCCUGAACCUUGGACGGCGGCAACCUGGUGAUGUCAGGAACCUCUUGUAGAUUAUCAUAGGACAUAGGGGUUGUUUUGGGGUCUUUGUUUAGUUUCUAAACCCUAUAUAACUGCAUAUUCCAUCUUCAAUGAAGAUUUUAGAGAGCUUCCUGGGACCCUGAAUGCAGAUGCCAUUGAUAGAGAUAUAAGGACAGGUCAGUUUUGAGCCACUAUCCCACCAUGUGGGAUUAUCAAAAUGAUUGAAACAAAAUAGUAAAGACUUCUUUCAAGCAUUGCUUGUCUCCUUAAUAGAAAAUUAGUACUUUCUAUGCUCAUCUUCAUAAAUCGAGGCAUUGGUAAGAACAAUAAUCUAUCUCACAGCAAUACUGAUAGAAUCUAAAUACAGCUCAAAUGUAAAUUAUACUCAAUAGUUGCCAAUGAGUUCUCCAGUUGUGAUGCACACGUGUGGCCCUAUUGAUUGCAUAUUUGUUCCUUCAGAGGGUGCUCAAACAUGGACGAUGCACCCUUGAAAACUACAUGCUACUUUCAAAAAGACAAGUUUCAAAAACAAGAUUCUCUUGAAAUGUAAAUGGUUUGUAUAGUUUCCAGGAAUAAUCUAGUCUACUAGAGUUUGGGAUGUAUAA
RNA transcript from Gossypium arboreum, 1475 nucleotides. RefSeq lists it as uncharacterized. The transcript is spliced from 8 exons. The record is from RefSeq and is a predicted model, not a curated record. NCBI's taxonomy places the organism in Eukaryota, Viridiplantae, Streptophyta, Magnoliopsida, Malvales, Malvaceae.